Molecule: long non-coding RNA, 1039 nt
Organism: Spinacia oleracea (spinach)
Lineage: Eukaryota; Viridiplantae; Streptophyta; Magnoliopsida; Caryophyllales; Amaranthaceae
Exons: 4
Source: RefSeq, a predicted model, not a curated record
UUUUUAAAAGAAUUUUCGUAAAACAAAACCCUGCACUUCUCUCCUCUACACCUCCCCACUUCUUCCCUACCACUACCCACGCCAAACUCUCACCACCGUCGUUGUUGCCAUCGUCUCUCCUCCCGUGUCCCAUCUUAUCUCCUCUGAUGUGUGCCAUCUUAUCUUCUCUCCUCUCCUAUCUUCUCUCCUCUCCAGCAGCCAAGUCGCCGAUUUGUGUACCGCUUAAUACCUCCAUCGCCUCCUCUCCUGGGGCAAAGAAUCGCGCUCACCGCCACUAUCGUCGACUUGCCUCCUACUGGAAACCGCUAAGAGGUUAGCUCAUACACCGUUCUGCUGGAAAAUCAAAUUUCUUUUUGGCUCAAAGAGCUUGCAAGUCCCAUUCUCGGAUACCAAGUGUUGUGAGUCGUGACUAUAUACGCCGGUCAUUUAGCUCCUGGUCUCUUAUUCAAUCAUGUAUUGCAACUUACAAGCAGAGAACAAAUUCAUUUAUGAUGGAUGGCUAGGAUGUACCUUUCCGAGAUGUCGUGGCUUAUGUGAAGAAGAUAUAUUCAAGGGCGUACCUGGAUUUAGCACCCUUCCUGCUUUUAGAAAACAUAAUCGAACUUGCGCUUUAUGUGCUCAAGAGUUAAGAUGUCCUAGCCACCAUCUCAUGAAGCUCAUUGCCUUCCAUUGAAGGGUGUAGGGUUGCUUCUGCUGCUGCUCUGUAUGUUGUUUCUGCUUUCCUUCGGCUGUUGCUCUAUAUGUUGUUGUUUCCACAUGAUUUCAGUACGUCAAUUGGUUCAUAUGAAGCAGUUUCAAGGACAAGUCUUCUUAUCGGUCUGCUUGUUUCAGCUGGAUUAUCACACUUAAUUGCCAACAUGGUGUUGUUCUUCGGAACUCCAAUUAACAUUUGGUUUUUUUCUUUGCAUUGUUGCUCUUUUUUUAGUGGUUAUUCUUUUGAUUCUUUGUUCUUUGAGUUGUAGGAAGAUCUGUGUUGGUUCUGCAGUUGCUGUAAGUUUAUCUGAAUUUAUGAGAAAGGCAAGAAUUUCUUCGUUGGUGA